GGAGCUGACCCCAUUCCCUAUUCAUUAAAGCCAGGGCUCAGCCUCGAAGCCACAAGUGAAAGUUAGGAGGAACCCACCCCAUUAGCAUGGUCUGCUCGCCCGGACUCCGCUCCCCUCCCUCCCCGUUUUCUGGCUCCUUGGAAGCUGAGGCUCCAUUGCUGUUUGUUUACUAUCUAUGCUUGGUGUUUUGUACUCAAGUUGUGUAAUGCCUGGGAAUGUGCUCUGUUUUAUUUAGCUAAGUUUUGAGAUAUGGGCAAUUUUUAUUUAACCAAUCUGAGCCAGCAUGGAUGGGUUUGAAAUUAAUCCACAAGAUCAAUCAAGGAGCUCAGCACAUGAGGUGCUGCUGGGAAAUACACACAUGUAGGAACGGUCCCUGCCCUAGAGCUAGGGAUAAAAGACGCAAACCCAAUCAACCAAUGGCCAUGAAAGAUUACAACCCUUCAACACCAGAAGAUUAGUUUAAAAGUCUAGGGGAUGCCUGACAACAUGUUUAACAAAAGCCACAAUAUGAGAGGGGUUUAGGGACUAAAUUCAAACCACAGUGGUAAGUGUUAUGAAAGAAAUAUCACUGGAGGAAUUUAGAAGUGGGCAGGCAAUGAGAGUCAGAGGGGUCACCGACUGCUUCAGAGAAGACGUAGAAUCUGGUGGCCCUUUGGACUAGUUGGGAGAGUCUUUCAGGUAAGGCAAGAGCAUGAAGAAAGGGGACAGUAUGUCCUGCCCUGGACAUGAGACUGACGGUUGGACGGCUGCUCUGGGACAUGUGGAAACACGGAGAGGAGGAUGGAAGGACUGGCACAUGAGACUUGGAGACAUUCUGCAAUCAGAAAGCGGAGGUCAAGGAUCUUGGAUUCCCUGAGUGCAGGUGAGAAGAGAGCCUGGAACAGGAACCUCUCUGGACUCUGCCUCUGCAGUGCCGGAAUGGCCAAGUCUCAUCACUUGGGGAAGCAUCAAGAAGCCCCUCCUCUCUGAUGUUUUUCUAUCCUGUUAGAUGCAUCAGUUCAGCUGUAGUCAUGUAUGGAUGUGAAAGGUGGGCCAUAAAGAAGGCUGAGCACCAAAGAACUGAUGCUUUCAAACUGUGGUGCUGGAGAAAACUCUUGAGAGUCCCCUGGACUACAAAGAGAUCAAACCAGUCAAUCCUAAAGGAAAUCAACCCUGAAUAUUCAUUGGAAGGACUGAUGCUGAAGCUCCAAUACUUUGGCCACCUGAUGUGAAGACCGACCCCACUGGUUUCAGCCUACACCAUUAUGUGAACUCGUGGUUAUAUGAGAUCAAGAUUUUCGGAACACAAACUGACAGAAGAAACAAUAUUGGGACAAUUUGUUGGAUGACGAGCUAUAAGCCAUAGAAAAAUUCUUAGAAACUCUAGUUUCAAUGUUGCCUUGAAAAUUUUAACAAAACUCAAAAUAAUAGAUUGCCUCUAUGAAUGUACCACACAAUUUCUAACUUAAAUAGAAAUUCAUAGUAAAUUCAGUGGGGAACGAGGGUAAGAGAGGUAAUACUAUUUUACAAUUUUUGAAAAACUGAGUAUCAAAAUCUCAUUUUAUACAUAUACACAAUGGAAUAUUGCUGCUGCUACUGCUGCUAAGUCACGGCAGUCGUGUCCGACUCUGUGCGACCCCACAGAUGGCAGCCCACCAGGCUCCCCCGUCCCUGGGAUCCUCCAGGCAAGAACACUGGAGUGGGGUGCCAUUUCCUUUUCCAAUGCAUGAAAGUGAAAAGUGAAAGGGAAGUUGCUCAGUCGUGUCCAAUCCUCAGCGACCCCAUGGACUGCAGCCUUCCAGGCUCCUCCAUCCAUGGGAUUUUCCAGGCAAGAGUACUGGAGUGGGGUGCCAUUGCUUUCUCCGACAAUGGAAUAUUACUCAGCCAUAAAAAGGAAUGCAUUUGAGUCAUUUCUAAUGAGGUGGAUGAACCCAGAGCCUAUUAUACAGAGUGAUGUAAGUCAUAAAGAGAAAAAUAAAUAUACUAACACACAUAUAUGGAAUCUAGAAAGAUGGUGCUGAAGAAUUUAUCUGCAGGGCAGCAAUGGAGAAACAGACACAGAGAACAGACCUAUGGACACAGGGAGAGGGGAGGAGAGGGUGAGAUGUAUGGAGAGAGUAACAUGGAGACAUACAUUAUCAUAUGUAAAACAGAUAGCCAACGGGAAUUUGCUGUACGUCUCAGGAAACUCAAACAGGGCUCUGUAUCAACCUAGAGAGGUGAGAUGGAAGGGAGGUUCAAGACGGAGGGGAUACAUGUAUACCUAUGGCUGAUUCAUGUGGCUGUUUGAUAGAAAACAACACAAUUCUGUAAAGCAAUUAUCAUUCAAUUAAAAAAUAAAUUGGGCUUCCCUGGUGGCUCAGCUGGUAAAGAAUCCGCCUGCAAUGUGGGAGACCUGGGUUCUAUCCCUGGGUUGGGAAGAUCCUCUGGACAAGGGAAAGGCUGGAGAUCUCCAGUCCCUGGAGAAUUCCAUGGACUGAAUAGUCCAUGGGGUCGCAAAGAGUCAGACAUGACUGAGCAACUUUCACUUAAAAAAUAAAUUAAUUAAAAAAAAAAAAAAAGAAUCUCAUUUCAUUAAAAUAUCCAUCACUGGGCACGGAUAUAUUCAAUAUACAUUUGGCUUUGAAAUCUUUUAAUUUAGCAAUUCCACCUCUGGGAAUUUAUAUACAGAAAUGUUGGAACAAGUGCUGGAGAGUAUUUACAGUGGCUAAAAUCAGAAGCAACUAAUUACUCAUCAGCAGACAGUGUGUUAAAGAAAUAAAGUCAAUUCAUGCAAAAGAAGACUAGGUAGCUGUUAGAAAGGAAAGGACUAUGUUAUGUCCCACAUGGAAUUAUUCUCACAUAAUACUGUUAAGUUAUUCCACUUUUCUAACAAACAAACUAAUAUAUUACAUGUAAAGAAAAGAAGUCUAGGGGGAUUUAAUAUACAUACCGAACAGUGACCACCUCUGAGGAGGGAGUAAGUAUGGGGAAAAUUUUCACUGUGUUCUUUUUUUGUUGUUCAGUUGCUAAGUCGUGUCCAACUUUUUGCAACCCCAUGGACAGCAGCUGUCCUUUUUAUGUAUUGCUUGGGGCUUCCCUGAUGGCUCAGCUGGUAAACGAUCCACCUGCAAUGCAGGAGAACUGCGCUCUAUCCCUGGGUGGGGAAGAUCCCCUGGAGAAGGAAAUGGCAACCCACUUCAAUAUUCUUGCCUGGGAAAUCCCAUGGACAGAAGACCCUCGAAGGCUUUAGUCCAUGGUGUCCCAAAGAGUCGGACACACCUGAGUGACUAGCACUUAAAUGUUUUACAAUAAGGAUAGUUUUUAUAGUUUACAUAUAAAUACAUACAUGUGUAUAUAAAAGUAAUCUUAAAGUUUUACUUUUAAAAAAAAAUUUUUUUUGGCCACACCAUUCAGCAGGUGGGAUCCCAGUUCCCUGACCAGGGAUCCAACCCGUGUCCCUGCAUUGGAAGCACAGAGUCCCAACCACUGGACCCCCAGGGAAAUCCUCAAUCUGAAAGUUUUAAAGUACACUUUUAUAGAAAACAAAAAAGGAAAUGUGUUUGCUACUCUGCUUGAACUGGUCUGACAGCCCUCCUGAUAAGAUACGCAAGCUCUUACCAUCCUGCCCUCCUCUCCUGCUGAAGCGAAGCAUGGAUCCUCGGGUUCCCCAAUACAAUACAGAUCCUCUUCCCUAAGCUUGCUGCAAGGCUGACUCACCCCUUCCUUCUCUAAGGCUCGGGGAGGGGGGAGUGUUGGGAGGGAACCAUAACUUGACUGUUAGUAGUUCAGCCAGUUGGAAAACGGGGUCUCAGACUCAUCCCUCUUUCAGCUGACCGCAGGCCAAGGAUGAAUGUGUCAAAGGGAAGCCAAUUCUGGCCUCCCGUUGGCAAAGGGCUUAACUUCUAGGCAAACUUAGCUGGGAUUAAUUUUUGCCCAUAUCGGACAAUGAUUUUAACACAAGGGUCAGGAUGGUCUGAUUCUGGCUUCCCUUCUUUUGGGGCUAAAUGUAGAGAACUGAGUCAAAGGACUGAGUCACUCAGUCACUCCAGUUCCAGCACUGACUCGCCUCCCAUCAUUAAAGGGACAGUUGUGUCUGAGUUCCUCAGCUGGGAGGCCAGUGUAGGGGUUUCAAAGAACCCAGGUGCCUGUGGCAGCUGUCUGGUUCUGGUGGAGGAAGAAGGGACCACGCCUGGGACACAGGAGACUGGGUAUGACACAGGCCCAAGAAGGGGUCUCUGUCACUCUCGAGUAACUGUCAGACAUUCCAUGGACCCUCAGGAAGCAAAAUAAAGGGGGCAGGUUCCAGAGAGCGUGGGGGAGGCUGAGUCACCUUUGCCCACAGCCAAAGCAGCAACUGCUUGCAAGCUAUACUUGAGGGUUUUGGGGAAAGCCAUUGAGCCUCAAAAUACUACUCCUAUUAUCCUAUGAUAGCUACUGAAAUUCAGCUCUUAGAGAUUUUUUCCUUUUGACUGAGACUUUAUGCAUGUUAAAUGGCAAGCUACUUCUCCCAGCUUCUUUCCAAUCUAGAAGACAGAGGUCGGAGAACAUAUAUACUUGAAUAUCAGGAGGGAAAUAGAAAGAAUCCACAGCUUAGAGGCUCAGAAAUCAAGACAGACAGAACUAUAUGGGUCCCAGGCAGAGAGAGAAAGGUACCAAAGAUUUUCAGUUUUGGCUAAGGUGAAGCACUGCAUCCGAUAGUAUUAGACCAAGCAGACCUAACUGUAGAAGGCCUGUGAUUAUGCUUUUAGACUUACUGUUAAAAACUACUUUAUACACAUAUACAUACUAGCUUCUUACCUGUAUCUGUUCAAGGUGGCUUUAGAUCUUGAUGGUGAAGGCUGACUAGCCAGCUGAUUUCAUUGUAAGCAACAGGCUUCCAAAUUUUAAAUUCUACAAGGUCUUUGUUUUUGGAAUCUGCGAUUUCAGUCCCCUCUGGUGACGAGCCCUCUAGGUGAUGGCUAAAAGCAACCUCGCUCAACUGUGGAAGUACCUUAAAAUCACCUGGGACCUUUUAAAAAUACUGAUACCCAGGGCCUGUUCUUAGAAAUUCUGAUUGACUUGGUCUGGAGCGGGGCCUGGGCAUCAGUUGUUUAAAAUAAACGCCUCCCCUCAGCACUUAAACGUGUAUUCUAAGGUGUACCCUGAGUUUAAAAUGCUAAGAAUUGUGAUGGGAGGGCAGAUGGGGUAGAUUAUCAUUACCGCGUCGUUAAAUUACCUACUCAACUUAAGACUUCUACAGUGGGCAAGCAGUGCUUUAAACUUUGGAGGGCACGUUAAGAAUGCACUGACAUAGAUUCUGCAGCUUCACCCUUCUGCAGAAACCAAUAGGAAGGGCCUGGCCAGAUGAGCGGCGGAGUGCAGAACCACCCAGCUCACACCCCCUGUUCCUCUGCAACAUUCCUUACGUUGCAGUGAACAGUUUUCCUGCCCUCCCUGACCUCAGCAGAGUAGAGCUCUGGUGUCUUGAGCCCCACCCUUUCCCCCACCCCUAGGAGAAGCCUUAACAUUAGGUCGGAGGGCACAAAGGCCUGGACAACUGGGAGAACCGGACUUACCCAGCUAAACGGGAUCCUCAGAUGCUCCUUUCACUGUUUCUCUUUGGUCAGGAUUUCCGAAGCCAAUCUUCACAACACUCUGCCUUACCAGGUUCCUUUUCCAGACCAGUCUCAGCCCACCUGCCUAUGGGCUAUACCAGGAUUUUCCUGCUUCCCCCUUCAUGGCUGGGCACUGGGAUGCUGUGCUCGCUACAUUCAUCAGAGUAGGUAUCAUCUCUUCCUCCAUUGGAGUGCCCAUGGCUCCUCCAUAGGAUUCCCUGGGCCCGCACUGCCCUAUGUCGCCACUGCCCACAGGCCUGAGCUAGCUGCAUUCGGCACCCCACAGAAAUCCAGUAUGUCCUCAAGUCAUAACAGGAAGAUGGUAUAGG
Bos taurus (domestic cattle) is the source of this 5884-nucleotide long non-coding RNA. The record is from Ensembl. NCBI's taxonomy places the organism in Eukaryota, Metazoa, Chordata, Mammalia, Artiodactyla, Bovidae.